Molecule: long non-coding RNA, 2149 nt
Organism: Daphnia pulex (common water flea)
Lineage: Eukaryota; Metazoa; Arthropoda; Branchiopoda; Diplostraca; Daphniidae
Exons: 15
Source: RefSeq, a predicted model, not a curated record
GAAUUCGUCAUACUCAAUGAAUGAAGUGACAACCACGUUUGAAAUCACUUGAACAUCGGCAAUGAGACAAUCAAGGUCUACUGCAUCUAAAGUUAAAAUUGUUUUUGAGACUUGUUAAAUGUUACAUUCUGUUAAUUUCGUUAAGUUAAUUGAAGGGUGCGCAAGUUUUAUUUAUCAUAUUUAAGUAUGCUUGAUUUCUACGUGAUUCACAUUGUUUCCUAUUAUAUCACCGCCAUGCUUCCUAAACGUGAUGAUUCAGUUGUGGGAGAUGUAACUUCAUGAAACAAGCUCUGGAGAUUUGCCAUGGUUGUGCGUCAACCUGUCUCAUGCUGUGAAGAAAAAUGUAGAGGAUUGCCUUUUUUGUUGGUGCUGGGAUGUUGGAUGACAGUUGUUUGCGGCUUGAUUUCCUGGACUUCAUUCUGUGGAGGCUUGUGUGACCGGAUGGUGGCUUUGCAGUUGAUGUGAUCGUGCGUCUUUCAGAUGAUGGUGUGCAGCUUUUGAUUCUACGAAGUAGAAAUUUUUGAGGUAAUUGAAAUUCCUGUGUCAAAAAAUCACUAUUCCGAUCGCCACGCCUCCUCCUCAAUCAAUGGGGAGGAAGGUGCCUAAAUUUCGAACGGGGAAAUUAUGGUCACGUAGGAAGCAACUGAGAUUGUAUUGAUCUUCAGGUUGUGCCUUAAACGGAGACGACAAUGUUUUACUUAACCGUAUUAUGCCGCCGCGGGAAAAUUAGGGAGGUUGCGGUGUGGUGCGAUCUGUCACUGGCUUUGCUAAGGCGGAUCUUCUCAGAAUUUCCUUUUGGUGUUGACCAGUGAAUAUUUGUCAUCUAGCUGGUUACCCUAGAACUGGGAGAUGAGACUGGAAAAUUGAAGGAGAUGUACAACAAAGGCACAAAGGUGUAGAGGUCUUCUGACGGAUAUCACAUGUCGGGCUCCAAUAAGAUGAGGUUGCUUGGGGUUUCCUGUGAGAUUUCUUUAUUAUGUGAAGGUUCUUUUUGGAUAUGUAGCCUGGCGGACUUUAUCAUAUCCAUUAGCCCAGGGUAUUGCUGCUGCAAUUUAGACAGAUUUCACAGUUCAGGUGCCAAGAAUUAAGAAUAAGAGGUUGCUUUGGAGUUUACUGUGCAUCUUCUGUAUGAUGUGAAGGUAUGUUUUGUACUCAUUCAAGCAGGGUUCUGUGUUGAUUUAAAGUGAUGACAUAAGAUUUCUGUGUCCAGGCCAAUGAUCAUUUAUGAUAUAAACUAUUUUGGUGACUACUGAUUUUUGUAUAUUGGAAAGACUAGUAGCCAUCUUCUGCACAAUAUCAACUGUUUCUAUUUGGGUGUUUGGUUGUUUUUGGGUAAUAGCCUGGUCGACUUCAACCCACAGGAGCUGCUGGACGAACAGGCUAGUAUGUUGCUGCUGCAAAUAUUCUGGUAUGUAUAGUUACAAUUUAUUCGUCGAUUUACCCAUGACGAUAUCAUAUUUCCAGAGAUACAAUGGUGGUACAAACUGAUUUAUUGAGACUGAGGAAACUACACUUGACAAAAUACGAGGAUUUUUGUGUAACGGGUUUUAAGCGAUGUUUUUACUUUUUUUCAGUCGGCCGUGCAUCUCUAGUACUACUGCUACUGCCAAAUUGCAAGCGAUAUCGUCUUUUUAAAGGCUAGAAACAGGAUGUCUCAGUGAUUCAACUCUCGGUUUUCUGGAAUCCCCUUUAUCCUUAGCAGGUCGUACCUAGCUGUCGUGACAUAGUUGGAAGUUAACGAUUAGGUCAAUACUUCGCAGCUUCAUCUGUCACUACCUUACAGCGUGACCUGCAUAUACGCGUGGAAUGCAUUCAGGUUGGUAGAAGUUUGUUGGUAUACCCCACUAAUUAAGCCGAUUGAUUAAGUCCUUAACUGGCUAUUCUUUGGUAUACGGUGGGAACAGUAAAUGCUAAUCCGUGUAAGGUCUUCUACCCAAUUGCUUGGUGGGUUAUUUAAGGGUUGAAUCAGCAAUAUUAUAAUAAUAAGCUUAUUGUUAUUUUUCGUAUUUUUGUUUAAAGUUCUUCGGAGAUUGAUAUUCUUUCUUGGGAUGUGGUCUGAGCCUGUGAGCCGCAAUCUAGUUCACGCUUGGAUACCAUUCCAUCGAUCUCUUGAAGUAAAACUUGAAAAUCACAUAAUUGACAUAGUUAA